This 497-nucleotide ribosomal RNA is filed under the name uncultured bacterium. Its description in RNAcentral is "partial 16S ribosomal RNA". It matches the Rfam family "Bacterial small subunit ribosomal RNA", at positions 28 to 507 of the family's 1533-position model. The record is from RNAcentral.
GACGAACGCUGGCGGCGUGCCUAAUACAUGCAAGUUGAGCGCUGAGGGUUUGUACUUGUACCGACUGCAUGAGCCGCGAACGUGUGAGUAACGCGUGUGACAUCUGCCUUUGUUCGGGGGACCUCAUUUGGAAACGAAUGCUAAUACCGCAUAAGCACUUUCAACACAGGUUUUAAGUUUGAAAUAUGCAAUUGCAUCACUCACUGAUGAUCCCGCGUUGUAUUAGCUAGUUGGUGAGGUAAAGGCUCACCAAGGCGAUGAUACAUAGCCGAACGGAGAGGGUGAGCGGCCAGAUUGGGACGGAGACACGGCCCAAAGGGCUACGGGAGGGAGCAGUAGGGAAACUUCGGCAAGGGAUGAAAGACUGAGCGAGCAACGCCGCGGGAGUGAAGAAGGUUUUCGGAUGGGAAAACACUGUUGGUAGGGAAGAACGUGGGUGAGAGUGGAAAGCUCAUCAAGUGACGGUAACUACCCAGAAAGGGACGGCUAACUACGUG